This 392-nucleotide long non-coding RNA is filed under the name Anas platyrhynchos platyrhynchos (common mallard). Its description in RNAcentral is "lncRNA (ENSAPLG00000027995.1)". The record is from RNAcentral. Lineage: Eukaryota; Metazoa; Chordata; Aves; Anseriformes; Anatidae.
GUGGUGUUAAUCGAAGGAUCAAGCUUGCAGUAGCUUCUCCUGAUCUGAGGGAUACCUUGAGAAGUGCAACCUACAGCAGAUCUCUCAUGGGCUGCCAGAUGUGUUUAGGGCACCAGGAAGUCAACAGAAAGCUGUCCCCAGUGUUCUUCACUUGGCAUCACCUUGUGAACAAGCACCAAGUCUCGAUGAAUGGGAGGGGACUCACGACUUCCACCUGGAGCACGGUGUCUAUUCGAUCCACUCUGGAGUCUCAGCAGGAAUCGGAAUUCAUCCUGCAGGUCUUCUCCAGGAGGCACGUUAUUAGAGAUGGAGGAUGUAUCCGUAUGCACGCAGGAGCACCAUCUCCUGGAGCUUGUUUUCCUGGGAACCAGCUGAGCAGCGCUGCCUCCUGA